UAAGGAAUAUUGGUCAAUGGAGGGAACUCUGAACCAGCCAUGCCGCGUGCAGGAUGACUGCCCUAUGGGUUGUAAACUGCUUUUGUCCAGGAAUAACCACCACUACGUGUAGUGGCUUGAAUGUACUGGAAGAAUAAGGAUCGGCUAACUCCGUGCCAGCAGCCGCGGUAAUACGGAGGAUUCGAGCGUUAUCCGGAUUUAUUGGGUUUAAAGGGUGCGUAGGCGGCUCAUUAAGUCAGGGGUGAAAGACGGCAGCUCAACUGUCGCAGUGCCUUUGAUACUGAUGAGCUUGAAUGUGGUUGAAGAUGGCGGAAUGAGACAAGUAGCGGUGAAAUGCAUAGAUAUGUCUCAGAACUCCGAUUGCGAAGGCAGCUGUCUAAGUCAUUAUUGACGCUGAUGCACGAAAGCGUGGGGAUCGAACAGGAUUAGAUACCCUGGUAGUCCACGCCCUAAACGAUGAUAACUCGAUGUUGGCGAUACACAGUCAGCGUCUUAGCGAAAGCGUUAAGUUAUCCACCUGGGGAGUACGCCCGCAAGGGUG
Molecule: ribosomal RNA, 541 nt
Filed under: uncultured bacterium
Lineage: Bacteria
Description: bacterial SSU rRNA
Rfam family: Bacterial small subunit ribosomal RNA
Source: RNAcentral